RNAcentral lists this ribosomal RNA (1911 nucleotides) under Helicobacter pylori FD703. RNAcentral's name for it is "bacterial LSU rRNA". It matches the Rfam family "Bacterial large subunit ribosomal RNA", at positions 1 to 1933 of the family's 2925-position model. Lineage: Bacteria; Pseudomonadati; Campylobacterota; Epsilonproteobacteria; Campylobacterales; Helicobacteraceae. The record is from RNAcentral.
UUAAAACAAGCUUUUAAGAGCAGAUGGCGGAUGCCUUGCCAAAGAGAGGCGAUGAAGGACGUACUAGACUGCGAUAAGCUAUGCGGAGCUGUCAAGGAGCUUUGAUGCGUAGAUGUCCGAAUGGGGCAACCCAACUAAUAGAGAUAUUAGUUACUCUUUAAAUAGAGAGCGAACCUAGUGAAGUGAAACAUCUCAGUAACUAGAGGAAAAGAAAUCAACGAGAUUCCCUAAGUAGUGGCGAGCGAACGGGGAAAAGGGCAAACCGAGUGCUUGCAUUCGGGGUUGAGGACUGCAACAUCCAAGAAAACGCUUUAGCAGAGUUACCUGGAAAGGUAAGCCAUAGAAAGUGAUAGCCUUGUAUGCGACAAGGCGUUUUCAGGUAGCAGGAUCCAGAGUAGGCCAGGACACGAGGAAUCCAGGUUGAAGCCGGGGAGACCACUCUCCAACCCUAAAUACUACUCUUUGAGCGAUAGCGAACAAGUACCGUGAGGGAAAGGUGAAAAGAACCGCAGUGAGCGGAGUGAAAUAGAACCUGAAACCAUCUGCUUACAAUCAUUCAGAGCCCUAUGAUUUAUCAGGGUGAUGGACUGCCUUUUGCAUAAUGAUCCUGCGAGUUGUGGUGUCUGGCAAGGUUAAGCGAAUGCGAAGCCGUAGCGAAAGCGAGUCUUAAUAGGGCGAUCAAGUCAGAUGCUGCAGACCCGAAGCUAAGUGAUCUAUCCAUGGCCAAGUUGAAACGCGUGUAAUAGCGCGUGGAGGACUGAACUCGUACCCAUUGAAACGGGUUGGGAUGAGCUGUGGAUAGGGGUGAAAGGCCAAACAAACUUAGUGAUAGCUGGUUCUCUUCGAAAUAUAUUUAGGUAUAGCCUCAAGUGAUAAUAAAAGGGGGUAGAGCUCUGAUUGGGCUAGGGCUGCUCGCCGCGGUACCAAACCCUAUCAAACUUCGAAUACCUUUUAUCGUAUCUUGGGAGUCAGGCGGUGGGUGAUAAAAUCAAUCGUCAAAAGGGGAACAACCCAGACUACCAAAUAAGGUCCCUAAGUUCUAUUCUGAGUGGAAAAAGAUGUGUGGCUACUCAAACAACCAGGAGGUUGGCUUAGAAGCAGCCAUCCUUUAAAGAAAGCGUAACAGCUCACUGGUCUAGUGGUCAUGCGCUGAAAAUAUAACGGGGCUAAGAUAGACACCGAAUUUGUAGAUUGUGUUAAACACAGUGGUAGAAGAGCGUUCAUACCAGCGUUGAAGGUAUACCGGUAAGGAGUGCUGGAGCGGUAUGAAGUGAGCAUGCAGGAAUGAGUAACGAUAAGAUAUAUGAGAAUUGUAUCCGCCGUAAAUCUAAGGUUUCCUACGCGAUGGUCGUCAUCGUAGGGUUAGUCGGGUCCUAAGCCGAGUCCGAAAGGGGUAGGUGAUGGCAAAUUGGUUAAUAUUCCAAUACCGACUAUGGAGCGUGAUGGGGGGACGCAUAGGGUUAAGCGAGCUAGCUGAUGGAAGCGCUAGUCUAAGGGCGUAGAUUGGAGGGAAGGCAAAUCCACCUCUGUAUUUGAAACCCAAACAGGCUCUUUGAGUCCUUUUAGGACAAAGGGAGAAUCGCUGAUACCGUCGUGCCAAGAAAAGCCUCUAAGCAUAUCCAUAGUCGUCCGUACCGCAAACCGACACAGGUAGAUGAGAUGAGUAUUCUAAGGCGCGUGAAAGAACUCUGGUUAAGGAACUCUGCAAACUAGCACCGUAAGUUCGCGAUAAGGUGUGCCACAGCGAUGUGGUCUCAGCAAAGAGUCCCUCCCGACUGUUUACCAAAAACACAGCACUUUGCCAACUCGUAAGAGGAAGUAUAAGGUGUGACGCCUGCCCGGUGCUCGAAGGUUAAGAGGAUGCGUCAGUCGCAAGAUGAAGCGUUGAAUUGAAGCCCGAGUAAACGGCGG